GCUACACAUGCAAGUCGAGCGGGAUAUACCGGUUUAGUUUACUAAGCUGGUAAAUUCAGCGGCGGACGGGUGAGUAACGCGUGAGCAAUCUGCCUUGUACAGGGGGAUAACAGCCGGAAACGGCUGCUAAUACCGCAUAAGGCCACAGUACCGCAUGGUACAGGGGUCAAAGGAGAGAUCCGGUAUAAGAUGAGCUCGCGUUCCAUUAGCUGGUUGGUGAGGUAACGGCCCACCAAGGCAACGAUGGGUAGCCGGCCUGAGAGGGUGAACGGCCACAUUGGGACUGAGACACGGCCCAAACUCCUACGGGAGGCAGCAGUGGGGGAUAUUGCGCAAUGGGGGGAACCCUGACGCAGCAACGCCGCGUGAGUGAAGGAGGCCUUCGGGUCGUAAAACUCUGUGACAGGGGAAGAAGAAAGUGACGGUACCCUGAGAGGAAGCCCCGGCUAACUACGUGCCAGCAGCCGCGGUAACACGUAGGGGGCAAGCGUUGUCCGGAAUUACUGGGCGUAAAGGGUGCGUAGGCGGCCGAGCAAGUCCGAUGUGAAAGACCACGGCUAAACUGUGGGGGUGCAUAGGAAACUGUCCGGCUUGAGUGCAGGAGAGGAAAGUGGAAUUCCUAGUGUAGCGGUGAAAUGCGUAGAGAUUAGGAAGAACACCAGUGGCGAAGGCGACUUUCUGGACUGUAACUGACGCUGAGGCACGAAAGCGUGGGGAGCGAACAGGAUUAGAUACCCUG
Molecule: ribosomal RNA, 739 nt
Filed under: uncultured bacterium
Lineage: Bacteria
Description: bacterial SSU rRNA
Rfam family: Bacterial small subunit ribosomal RNA
Source: RNAcentral